RNAcentral lists this ribosomal RNA (1372 nucleotides) under uncultured bacterium. RNAcentral's name for it is "bacterial SSU rRNA". It matches the Rfam family "Bacterial small subunit ribosomal RNA", at positions 28 to 1381 of the family's 1533-position model. The record is from RNAcentral.
GAUGAACGCUGGCGGCGUGCCUAAUACAUGCAAGUCGAGCGAACGGACGAGAAGCUUGCUUCUCUGAUGUUAGCGGCGGACGGGUGAGUAACACGUGGAUAACCUACCUAUAAGACUGGGAUAACUUCGGGAAACCGGAGCUAAUACCGGAUAAUAUUUUGAACCGCAUGGUUCAAAAGUGAAAGACGGUCUUGCUGUCACUUAUAGAUGGAUCCGCGCUGCAUUAGCUAGUUGGUAAGGUAACGGCUUACCAAGGCAACGAUGCAUAGCCGACCUGAGAGGGUGAUCGGCCACACUGGAACUGAGACACGGUCCAGACUCCUACGGGAGGCAGCAGUAGGGAAUCUUCCGCAAUGGGCGAAAGCCUGACGGAGCAACGCCGCGUGAGUGAUGAAGGUCUUCGGAUCGUAAAACUCUGUUAUUAGGGAAGAACAUAUGUGUAAGUAACUGUGCACAUCUUGACGGUACCUAAUCAGAAAGCCGCGGCUAACUACGUGCCAGCAGCCGCGGUAAUACGUAGGUGGCAAGCGUUAUCCGGAAUUAUUGGGCGUAAAGCGCGCGUAGGCGGUUUUUUAAGUCUGAUGUGAAAGCCCACGGCUCAACCGUGGAGGGUCAUUGGAAACUGGAAAACUUGAGUGCAGAAGAGGAAAGUGGAAUUCCAUGUGUAGCGGUGAAAUGCGCAGAGAUAUGGAGGAACACCAGUGGCGAAGGCGACUUUCUGGUCUGUAACUGACGCUGAUGUGCGAAAGCGUGGGGAUCAAACAGGAUUAGAUACCCUGGUAGUCCACGCCGUAAACGAUGAGUGCUAAGUGUUAGGGGGUUUCCGCCCCUUAGUGCUGCAUCUAACGCAUUAAGCACUCCGCCUGGGGAGUACGACCGCAAGGUUGAAACUCAAAGGAAUUGACGGGGACCCGCACAAGCGGUGGAGCAUGUGGUUUAAUUCGAAGCAACGCGAAGAACCUUACCAAAUCUUGACAUCCUUUGACAACUCUAGAGAUAGAGCUUUCCCCUUCGGGGGACAAAGUGACAGGUGGUGCAUGGUUGUCGUCAGCUCGUGUCGUGAGAUGUUGGGUUAAGUCCCGCAACGAGCGCAACCCUUAAGCUUAGUUGCCAUCAUUAAGUUGGGCACUCUAAGUUGACUGCCGGUGACAAACCGGAGGAAGGUGGGGAUGACGUCAAAUCAUCAUGCCCCUUAUGAUUUGGGCUACACACGUGCUACAAUGGACAAUACAAAGGGCAGCGAAACCGCGAGGUCAAGCAAAUCCCAUAAAGUUGUUCUCAGUUCGGAUUGUAGUCUGCAACUCGACUACAUGAAGCUGGAAUCGCUAGUAAUCGUAGAUCAGCAUGCUACGGUGAAUACGUUCCCGGGUCU